Pelobates cultripes (western spadefoot toad) is the source of this 215-nucleotide non-coding RNA. The record is from the annotation of a GenBank genome assembly. NCBI's taxonomy places the organism in Eukaryota, Metazoa, Chordata, Amphibia, Anura, Pelobatidae.
CUCAGUGUACCGCAAAAUUUUAUAUGGACACAGUGUACCACCAACAUUUCAAAUGGACACCGUGUACCCCCAACAUUCUAUAUGGACAUAGUGUACGAGAGAACUUUAUAUGGUCACAGUAUACCCCAACAUUUUAUAUAAUCACAGUGUACCCCAGCAUUUUAUAUGGACACCAUGUACCCCCAACAUUUCAAAUGGACACCGUGUACCCCAAC